UGACUGAUCAGACUCAGGUGAGUGGGACCUGC
This 32-nucleotide non-coding RNA is filed under the name Homo sapiens (human). The record is from RNAcentral. Lineage: Eukaryota; Metazoa; Chordata; Mammalia; Primates; Hominidae.